RNAcentral lists this transfer RNA (74 nucleotides) under Gehyra variegata. Its description in RNAcentral is "tRNA-Tyr". The record is from RNAcentral. Lineage: Eukaryota; Metazoa; Chordata; Lepidosauria; Squamata; Gekkonidae.
GGUAUCAUGGCCGAGAGCCAAGCGGCGAGUUGUAGCCUCGAUAGAGGGACCGGGUUAGGAAGGUCCUGUUACCA